This 259-nucleotide long non-coding RNA is filed under the name Panax ginseng (ginseng). RNAcentral's name for it is "long non-coding RNA (PGIN_LNC011581)". Lineage: Eukaryota; Viridiplantae; Streptophyta; Magnoliopsida; Apiales; Araliaceae. The record is from RNAcentral.
GUAAUUUCUCCAAAAAUUAAAUCUAAUUCUCCACAAUUUGUUGAAACUAUUUGUUGAAGACGAAGAUGUAUGGCAGAGAUUAAAGGAUCGUUCUGUAGUUUUCGGUGGGCCGAGCUAUCUCGAAUUCUGAUAUGAAGUCUAUGUCGACUAACACUCUCUCACCUUUUUCCGCAAUCACAUCUAUGUACUCAUAUUCCCCUGUAUACAAAAGUACAAACACAUAAAUCCAAUGAACACCUACAAAUGGUUUAUACAGAAG